Molecule: long non-coding RNA, 2263 nt
Organism: Anthonomus grandis grandis
Lineage: Eukaryota; Metazoa; Arthropoda; Insecta; Coleoptera; Curculionidae
Exons: 4
Source: RefSeq, a predicted model, not a curated record
UGUACCAAUUCGUGUUUGUGGCGGUGUAAAUUUUGCAUUUGUUUUACAUUCGUUUUCUCGUUUCUACUAAACAUUUACCAGUUUUGUGUGUAAAAAUAAACGCCCACACAGCUAAAAUAUUUAAAAACUUGAGACAGCCACGUCUGGAUUCACCAGAAGAAGAUGAACAGGAGAUUCCAAAGAAAAGUAAUGACGAAUGCGACAACAAACAAAAAAAUGGACCCGGAACAUCAAACGUUUUUGCUUCUAUACCAAAUAAUGAAAGAAUACUGCGUCCAACGGUUUUAGGGAACCAUCUAGAAGCACAAUCUUUAGUAGAUAUUUCGGGCACCUCCAGUAGGGAACCCACGUUGGAUAGCGAACUAGCUUCGAGUAACCUUUCGGACUUUUCAUCAGAUAACUAUAAUCCCGAAGAGGAAUUAACUUCUAGCAGUUCUUCCUACUCUUCUUGUUCGAGCUCUAGCGAUACAUCUAAAUCAUAGGAUCAAAAUGAAAUUAAAGAAAAUAUAUUAAGUGAGUGCCCUAAGAGGAAGAAGAAAAGCAUAAACGAUUGGAAGAAAAACAUAAAGAAACAAAAAAGGUUAAAAGGAGAGUCUUAUGUCUGUUCUAGAAAUAAAGAGAGACCAGCACGUCCCAUGUUACCAUCCCUAUGUUUUGGUAAAGCAAACCACCAAUGUGAUACUUUUAUCAACGAAGAAAAUCGACUCAAAAUUUACAAUGAAUUCCCUCAAAUGAUUUCGGUUGAUGAUCAGCGAGUUUUCUUAAAUAGUCAUAUUGAUAAACAAAAGAAAAAGAGAGUGACUAGAAACAUUGAAAAUUCAAGAAGAACGUUUACCAUGAAUUACUCUUUUACCGUCAAUGGGGAAAAAAGACAAGUAUGCCGGGCUUCUUUUGUGGCUACACUCAAUGUUACAGAUGCAUUUAUGCGCGGAGCUGUGGCAAAGCUUUCUUCCAGCGGCAUAGUUGAAAAAGAAAAUCGUGGAAAACGUGUCCCACAAAAUAAAUUAAAACAUGAUUAUAAACUGCUGAUUCGUAAGCACAUUCUUUCAUUUACAGCCGUGGAGUCCCAUUAUUGUAGAGCCUUUAGUACCAAAAGGAUUCUUCACUAAACGUCUCUAUUAUGCACAAAUUGUACAAAUCAAAGUGCUCAGAAUUAAAUGUCCAUCCAGUUUUUUUCGAAAAAUAUCGACGACUGUUUAAAAGUUAUAACUUGGAGUUUCAUAAACCCAAAAAGGACCAGUGUAAAAAGUGCUUAAAAUAUACGAAUAUGACAGAGGAGGAAAAAAAGGCACAUGAAGAGGUUCAUUGCGAACACACGCUAAGAAAAAAAUUAGCUCGUGAGACUCGAGAUGAAGACAAAGAAAUUGCAAAAAAUAAUUCAGAGGUACUAUCAUUCAACUUUGACCUUGAGGCAGUGCUAACGACUCCAAAAGGUCCAACAGGACAAAUAUUUUACCUACGAAAAUUGGCGGUUCUCAACCUGACUGUCUACAAUUUAGGAAAUCAGGACGGAAUCUGUUACCUUUGGGAUGAAACCCAAGGAAAAAGGGGGUCAAACGAGAUAUCCUCGUGUAUUUAUAAUUACAUAAUCAAUCAACAAAACAUUACUGAAGUUCGAAUGAUGUCGGACGGGUGUGGCGGCCAACAAAAAAAUUCACAUUUUGCUGCUAUGUGCUUGAAACUUCUUACGGAUCAUACCAAUUUAAAGACUAUUGAUCACAAGUUUUUUGAAACAGGACAGACCGAGAUGGAGUGUGAUUCACUCCACUCGAAAAUCGAACAAAAAUCAAAAUAUGCUCCUGUUUAUUCACCCGAAGGUUGGGCUCAGAUAGGAAUAGGGAUAAGAAGUGCUCCACCACAGCCUUUUGAAGUCAGAUUCAUGGUGUUUGAUGACGUCUUUAAUUUCAAGUCUUUUGGAAUACAAAAUUAUAAAUUGAACCAAAUUUCCUGGCAACAAGUUUUUUUUUAUACAUUAAAACCAUAAAAAAAAUUUUGGAGAUGAAUUUCAACAAGUAGACAGCAUGUAAAGCCGUGGACGACCCAAAAACGUUGACUUGAAGAAAGCCUAUGAUAAGCAGUUGCCAAUUGUGAUUGCCAAAUAUAAAGAUCUUCAGAAAAUGUGCAAUGACUUAACCAUUCCAAAGAACUAUCAUAACUUUUAUAAUUCCAUAAAUGCUGAUAAAAAUAUAAGAGACAAUUUACCGGAGCCAAACGAAAGCGAAGAUUCAGAUGAAAACUAAAUUAUUCUAAAAUAUGAUUUAAG